RNAcentral lists this microRNA (23 nucleotides) under Ornithorhynchus anatinus (platypus). Its description in RNAcentral is "oan-miR-1421ak-3p". Lineage: Eukaryota; Metazoa; Chordata; Mammalia; Monotremata; Ornithorhynchidae. The record is from miRBase by way of RNAcentral.
ACUGCAUACCAUGUGAUCUCGCU